Molecule: non-coding RNA, 299 nt
Organism: Taeniopygia guttata (zebra finch)
Lineage: Eukaryota; Metazoa; Chordata; Aves; Passeriformes; Estrildidae
Source: RefSeq, a predicted model, not a curated record
GCUGAAUUUCCAUGAGGAGAUUUUUUUUUUUCUUUGCUGCAGCUGCAUGGAAUCACAGGAUUCUUGUGAAAAUGGAACAGGAAGGGGUCUGGGCUGCCUCUGCUGCUCUGGGCACCUCUGCCACCAGCCAGGGACACAGGCAGGCAGCCAGAGAGGCUGAAAACAACUUCUUCCUUCCCCUAAAUGCCACCAAGUGUUAAGAAGAUGGCACAAUGACAGCAGGCAUCUUGGUGAUGACAGCUCUCAACAUGUUUGUCUCCGGAGUCAUAAUCUAUUAAAAGACACAUAUAAUGAUCUCA